GAUGAACGCUGGCGGCGUGCCUAAUACAUGCAAGUCGAGCGAACAGAUGAGGAGCUUGCUCCUCUGACGUUAGCGGCGGACGGGUGUGUAACACGUGGAUAACCUACCUAUAAGACUGGGAUAACUUCGGGAAACCGGAGCUAAUACCGGAUAAUAUAUUUAACCGCAUGGUUCAAUAGUGAAAUACGGUUUUGCUGUCACUUAUAGAUGGAUCCGCGCCGCAUUAGCUAGUUGGUAAGGUAACGGCUUACCAAGGCAACGAUGCGUAGCCGACCUGAGAGGGUGAUCGGCCACACUGGAACUGAGACACGGUCCAGACUCCUACGGGAGGCAGCAGUAGGGAAUCUUCCGCAAUGAGCGAAAGCCUGACGGAGCAACGCCGCGUGAGUGAUGAAGGUCUUCGGAUCGUAAAACUCUGUUAUUAGGGAAGAACAAAUGUGUAAGUAACUAUGCACGUCUUGACGGUACCUAAUCAGAAAGCCACGGCUAACUACGUG
RNAcentral lists this ribosomal RNA (497 nucleotides) under uncultured bacterium. RNAcentral's name for it is "partial 16S ribosomal RNA". It matches the Rfam family "Bacterial small subunit ribosomal RNA", at positions 28 to 507 of the family's 1533-position model. The record is from RNAcentral.